Molecule: non-coding RNA, 734 nt
Organism: Misgurnus anguillicaudatus (oriental weatherfish)
Lineage: Eukaryota; Metazoa; Chordata; Actinopteri; Cypriniformes; Cobitidae
Source: RefSeq, a predicted model, not a curated record
AUUAACUUUAUAAGCUUUGUUUUGUAUUUACAGUGUAUUUUGUGUUUUUAGUAUGUCUAAAUCAUUAUUUCUUUAAAAACAUAAUGGCCAGUUUCACAAACAAGGUAUAGAUUAAUCCAUGACUAGGCCUUAGUUAUAUUAGGAAGUUCUCUUGGAGUAUUGUUUAAUAUAAUUUUUUGUGUGUUUGGUUUUUAAACAGGAUGUUAUGGAAUUAAAGAAGGAAUUAUUAAGAAUUUAAUGUUAGGUGUUUUGCUCAUCGUGCAAUUUUUCUUUUUGCUGUUUUCAUUUAAUGUUCCGAGUCCAGGUAAGUGACACUCUGAUUGUGUAAUGCUAUCAUUUCAUAUCUUAUGAUAUUUUAAUAUUUAUCAUUCCUCUUUUCAUUAACAUUGCUGUUAACCUUGUGGUGGCCUCUUUGAUAAUGUAGUCAUGCAAAAAGUAAGCUUUUUGUUUGCUGUUUUACAGAUUUGAUGGAUUUGACCUGUGUUGUGUUUGUGGCAGUUUUGCUUAUCCUGGUGAUCUAUGAAAACAACGGGCAUGUCCGUCUGCACAAUAGAUUUGUGCUCAUAAUUGGAGCAGUUGGUAUCAUUUUGUUGAACACUUUUACACUGGCAGCAGAAUUGAUUCUAAAAACACGAAAUGGUGAGCGUGCAUUGGGAGAUCUCAGAGUCAUUGUUUUUCCAUCUGAAUGUGCUUUUAUCUUAUGCUGGCUGUUGUUUUCAACAUAUGCUUGGUGU